This is a long non-coding RNA of Rhodamnia argentea, 167 nucleotides long. RefSeq lists it as uncharacterized. The record is from RefSeq and is a predicted model, not a curated record. NCBI's taxonomy places the organism in Eukaryota, Viridiplantae, Streptophyta, Magnoliopsida, Myrtales, Myrtaceae. The transcript has 3 exons.
CUGAUAUUCUAAAAAUGGUACUCCACAUGUUCUUGGGUUCACGAGGCAUAAUCAACCUUCCUUUAUUUGAUCCUCCCCAGUGAACAGACCAAGUCCUGAUGUUGGUCCGGAAGCACAAAGAAUUUCAACAUAUGACACAAUUCGGGAGAGCACAAUUCUGAAAUCCA